ACGGAAGGCAGCAGUGAGGAAUAUUGGUCAAUGGACGAGAGUCUGAACCAGCCAAGUAGCGUGCAGGAUGACGGCCCUAUGGGUUGUAAACUGCUUUUGUACGGGAAUAAAGUGACCUACGUGUAGGUUUUUGCAUGUACCGUAAGAAUAAGGACCGGCUAAUUCCGUGCCAGCAGCCGCGGUAAUACGGAAGGUCCGGGCGUUAUCCGGAUUUAUUGGGUUUAAAGGGAGCGUAGGCGGACUGUUAGGUCUGUGGUCAAAUGUCAGGGCCCAACCUUGGCAUGCCAUGGAAACCGGCGGUCUUGAAUACACGCAAGGCAGAUGGAAUUCGUCGUGUAGCGGUGAAAUGCUUAGAUAUGACGAAGAACUCCGAUUGCGAAGGCAGUCUGCUGGAGUGCGAUUGACGCUGAGGCUCGAAAGCGCGGGUAUCAAACAGGAUUAGAUACCCUGGUA
Molecule: ribosomal RNA, 453 nt
Filed under: uncultured Prevotella sp.
Lineage: Bacteria; Pseudomonadati; Bacteroidota; Bacteroidia; Bacteroidales; Prevotellaceae
Description: partial 16S ribosomal RNA
Rfam family: Bacterial small subunit ribosomal RNA
Source: RNAcentral